CAGGGGAUUGCAGUGGCAAAGCUAGGCUAGGUCUUGGAGGCUGGUGUAAGGCGAUGCGGGUGAAGGCAGGAGGCUGAUGGAAAGACUGGGGGGAAGAAAAGCCGAAAUGGAUUCACGGUGCCUUGGAUGAAGGACGAGAGGGGAACUGCAAGCUCCUUCAACUGGUUCUGUCCGGUGAGAAGUGAUCAAGCUUGGGCUGACAAGAGGCUCAGGGAGCCCUCACGUUCUUUCGCUUUUUUACCUGCCAAUCAAACUGCUACAAGACAACACCCUGAUCUGGCAUGGACAUCGCGGGUCCAAGCCUGUAGCCCCAAAUCGGAUAAUCUCUGCAGCUGAUAACAAGCAAAAGAGAAGCCAGGCAACAGCCAUAUUAAAGAAGAAAACAAUCAACUCUGAGACACAGCCCAGGCAGACAGAAGGAAACGGAGCAUUAAUCCAACAGCAGUCACCCCAAAGUACAGGCCAUUUGGAUCCAGAAGAGAAACUGGUUCUUUCUACAAGCUCUCCCGUUCUCCCUGGGGCCCUUCACAGCCCCCUUGUCUACGUUGUGGCUGUGCUUUCCCUGAUCCAACUUAGAAAUAAUGUUUCAUUCAAGAUAAGGCUCGUGAUUUAGGAGAUUGUGACCUGGCUUGCAUCAUUCUAAGACUUCUAUCAUCUGUUUUCAAAA
This 667-nucleotide small RNA is filed under the name Pongo abelii (Sumatran orangutan). RNAcentral's name for it is "sense overlapping". The stretch from base 14 to 289 matches the Rfam family "SOX2 overlapping transcript exon 3". The record is from RNAcentral. Lineage: Eukaryota; Metazoa; Chordata; Mammalia; Primates; Hominidae.